This 274-nucleotide ribosomal RNA is filed under the name uncultured bacterium. RNAcentral's name for it is "partial 16S ribosomal RNA". It matches the Rfam family "Bacterial small subunit ribosomal RNA", at positions 523 to 796 of the family's 1533-position model. The record is from RNAcentral.
AUACGGAGGGUGCAAGCGUUAUUCGGAAUCACUGGGCGUAAAGGACGCGUAGGCGGGUUGGCAAGUCAGAUGUGAAAUCCUACAGCUUAACUGUAGAACUGCAUUUGAAACUGCUAACCUAGAGUAUGGGAGGGGGAGAUGGAAUUAGUGGUGUAGGGGUAAAAUCCGUAGAUAUCACUAGGAAUAACGAAAGCGAAGGCGAUCUCCUGGAACAUAACUGACGCUAAGGCGUGAAAGCGUGGGGAGCAAACAGGAUUAGAAACCCCAGUAGUCC